Long non-coding RNA from Megalops cyprinoides (Indo-Pacific tarpon), 1238 nucleotides. RefSeq lists it as uncharacterized. Lineage: Eukaryota; Metazoa; Chordata; Actinopteri; Elopiformes; Megalopidae. The record is from RefSeq and is a predicted model, not a curated record. The transcript has 3 exons.
AGUGUUGCCGUUCCGAAACCGAGCAUCUGAGGAAAGUGCUGGCGAAGACAAGACAGCGACACGUUUGACAAUAGCGGUUUCCACUUGACAGUUUCUUCCGGGAGACGAUAACGUGCAAGCUAGUCAUGCCUUAUAUUUUUGUCAGCUCUGAGCUUCCCCUGGAAACUGGACCUACAACAGUGGGAGACACAACAUCCGAUAGAGAUUUAAUGCAAGCGCUUGGAGCAAAACUAGGAUAUGUCCGGGGAAACAACCAGCGUGUGUACUUUGUGGAAAACCGACCCCGGGAGGUCCUGGACAAGCUGGAGCUGUGUGGUUACCGGAUGCUGAGCACGAGCGUAAUGGCUAAUACCAUAAUGGUGUGGUGCCUGUACAAGGAGGCUGCCAGCUUUCCCUCUUUACAGUGACUGUGGAUGCUUUCAGCCCCCAGUAACUGAUUCAACAUCAGUUUACCAACCCCUAAUCCAAACCCCAUACUUUAUUUCAGCCAAAUGUGAAAACUAAUGCUAGAUAGGUUCUGCCACCAAAAACUGGUCUACACCCCUAACACAAGAGAUUGGAGCUCCCAGGAUCAACCACAGAACUGCAGCCUAGGGUGGGAGGGAGUGUAGGAAGAGGUCAGACAUUCCUGAUUUUAAAGCUUGCCAAAAAUGACUUGGUUUGUUUGCAUGCUUGUUUUCCAUAAUAAUUACAUAAAUUCAUUAAGGUGCCUGUAACAAUGCACUUGUUUUCUGUGUAUUCACAUUAACUGUUGAAAUAAGGGUCCAGGCUGGGCUCAGGAGUACUUGGCAGCAAUGCUGGAAGAGCUGAAUUAGAUUUUUCUCCAGAAACAUCUUUACCUUUCAGCUGAUGUUAGAGAUGCAUGUCCCGCAUUCAAGAACAGAGAACUAAGCAAAUUAAAAUGGCAAAUGCAUAGAGAAUAGGAAGACCAACUGCACCAUGUUCCAGAAUGGUGGGAAUUAAAGGUAAAAAACUGAAAAGAAUGAAAGAAACAUGCUGUUUAUCAGCAUGGUGGAGUUGACAUUGUUGGGCCAGCAGGGGGUACUCCAAUCACAAUAAAUCCAGUGCCACAGCACUGUGGAUACCAUUCUUCAGAUGAAACAUUCAUCAGAGGCCCUAGCCUGCCGUCAUUUAUGAUUUAUUUCCACAGGUCGUUGCUAUGAAAGUGAACUGGGUUCUCAGCCUGCCCUCCUGCUGAAAUAAAUGAAAUGUCCUGAUCAAGAUCUGUCAGACUUGCA